UGGGGAAUAUUGCACAAUGGGCGCAAGCCUGAUGCAGCCAUGCCGCGUGUAUGAAGAAGGCCUUCGGGUUGUAAAGUACUUUCAGCGGGGAGGAAGGGAGUAAAGUUAAUACCUUUGCUCAUUGACGUUACCCGCAGAAGAAGCACCGGCUAACUCCGUGCCAGCAGCCGCGGUAAUACGGAGGGUGCAAGCGUUAAUCGGAAUUACUGGGCGUAAAGUGCACGCAGGCGGUUUGUUAAGUCAGAUGUGAAAUCCCCGGGCUCAACCUGGGAAUUGCAUCUGAUACUGGUCAGCUAGAGUCUUGUAGAGGGGGGUAGAAUUCCAUGUGUAGCGGUGAAAUGCGUAGAGAUGUGGAGGAAUACCGGUGGCGAAGGCGGCCCCCUGGACAAAGACUGACGCUCAGGUGCGAAAGCGUGGGGAGCAAACAGG
RNAcentral lists this ribosomal RNA (429 nucleotides) under Chloroflexota bacterium. Its description in RNAcentral is "Chloroflexi bacterium partial 16S ribosomal RNA". It matches the Rfam family "Bacterial small subunit ribosomal RNA", at positions 355 to 776 of the family's 1533-position model. The record is from RNAcentral. Lineage: Bacteria; Bacillati; Chloroflexota.